This 1371-nucleotide ribosomal RNA is filed under the name uncultured bacterium. RNAcentral's name for it is "bacterial SSU rRNA". It matches the Rfam family "Bacterial small subunit ribosomal RNA", at positions 28 to 1381 of the family's 1533-position model. The record is from RNAcentral.
GAUAAACGCUGGCGGCGUGCCUAAUACAUGCAAGUCGAGCGAACGGACGAGAAGCUUGCUUCUCUGAUGUUAGCGGCGGACGGGUGUGUAACACGUGGAUAACCUACCUAUAAGACUGGGAUAACUUCGGGAAACCGGAGCUAAUACCGGAUAAUAUUUUGAACCGCAUGGUUCAAAAGUGAAAGACGGUCUUGCUGUCACUUAUAGAUGGAUCCGCGCUGCAUUAGCUAGUUGGUAAGGUAACGGCUUACCAAGGCAACGAUGCAUAGCCGACCUGAGAGGGUGAUCGGCCACACUGGAACUGAGACACGGUCCAGACUCCUACGGGAGGCAGCAGUAGGGAAUCUUCCGCAAUGGGCGAAAGCCUGACGGAGCAACGCCGCGUGAGUGAUGAAGGUCUUCGGAUCGUAAAACUCUGUUAUUAGGGAAGAACAUAUGUGUAAGUAACUGUGCACAUCUUGACGGUACCUAAUCAGAAAGCCACGGCUAACUACGUGCCAGCAGCCGCGGUAAUACGUAGGUGGCAAGCGUUAUCCGGAAUUAUUGGGCGUAAAGCGCGCGUAGGCGGUUUUUUAGUCUGAUGUGAAAGCCCACGGCUCAACCGUGGAGGGUCAUUGGAAACUGGAAAACUUGAGUGCAGAAGAGGAAAGUGGAAUUCCAUGUGUAGUGGUGAAAUGCGCAGAGAUAUGGAGGAACACCAGUGGCGAAGGCGACUUUCUGGUCUGUAACUGACGCUGAUGUGCGAAAGCGUGGGGAUCAAACAGGAUUAGAUACCCUGGUAGUCCACGCCGUAAACGAUGAGUGCUAAGUGUUAGGGGGUUUCCGCCCCUUAGUGCUGCAGCUAACGCAUUAAGCACUCCGCCUGGGGAGUACGACCGCAAGGUUGAAACUCAAAGGAAUUGACGGGGACCCGCACAAGCGGUGGAGCAUGUGGUUUAAUUCGAAGCAACGCGAAGAACCUUACCAAAUCUUGACAUCCUUUGACAACUCUAGAGAUAGAGCCUUCCCCUUCGGGGGACAAAGUGACAGGUGGUGCAUGGUUGUCGUCAGCUCGUGUCGUGAGAUGUUGGGUUAAGUCCCGCAACGAGCGCAACCCUUAAGCUUAGUUGCCAUCAUUAAGUUGGGCACUCUAAGUUGACUGCCGGUGACAAACCGGAGGAAGGUGGGGAUGACGUCAAAUCAUCAUGCCCCUUAUGAUUUGGGCUACACACGUGCUACAAUGGACAAUACAAAGGGCAGCGAAACCGCGAGGUCAAGCAAAUCCCAUAAAGUUGUUCUCAGUUCGGAUUGUAGUCUGCAACUCGACUACAUGAAGCUGGAAUCGCUAGUAAUCGUAGAUCAGCAUGCUACGGUGAAUACGUUCCCGGGUCU